RNAcentral lists this non-coding RNA (28 nucleotides) under Bombyx mori (domestic silkworm). Lineage: Eukaryota; Metazoa; Arthropoda; Insecta; Lepidoptera; Bombycidae. The record is from RNAcentral.
GACCCGUCUUCCAUUCUUCCGGGAACCU